CACAUAAAUAAAUUCAAGGACUUGCAUGAUGUGUCUUGGACCAUGGCGAAUGGAGAAUCUAAAGACCUACUGUAUAGGCAACACAAUUCAUGAUUGUUUCGUUCUCCUACUUUCUUUGGGAUUGCCGGAGGAGUGACUGACAGUGACUGUGUGUACUCUGUCCUGCCCCUCUACCAUUCCCAUGGCCUCGCACACGGUGGAGGGCCUAUGAUCUACACAGGAGCCACUCUCAUCAUUAGGAAAAAGUUCUCUGCCAAACACUUUUGGACCGAUAUUGCAAAGUACAACUGCACUAUGGUGUGCACGAUUGGGAAGUUGAAUCGCUACGUGUUGGUCCAACUCCCUGGCUGUAUCUGAAACUUGACCCCUUCGAGGAGCAUGACGAGAGGUUUGUCCAUGUUGCCCAGCUGAGACAAGAAGGUCUGGAGGCGGCCAGGCGUUCAGGGGCAGACUACCUCUUUCGGCUAGACUGUGACAACUUUCUGGUGAACAACAGGACACUACGGAUUCUGAUGGAUCAGCAAAGAGUGAGAGUCAGACAACGU
Molecule: long non-coding RNA, 545 nt
Organism: Halichondria panicea
Lineage: Eukaryota; Metazoa; Porifera; Demospongiae; Suberitida; Halichondriidae
Exons: 5
Source: RefSeq, a predicted model, not a curated record